GCCCCAGUAGCUCAAAGGAUAGAGCAGCCGCCUCCUAAGCGGCGGGUUGAGGGUUCGAGUCCCUCCUGGGGCU
This 73-nucleotide transfer RNA is filed under the name Chloroflexota bacterium. RNAcentral's name for it is "Chloroflexi bacterium (hydrothermal vent metagenome) tRNA-Arg". It matches the Rfam family "tRNA". From Rfam's summary of the family: Transfer RNA (tRNA) molecules are approximately 80 nucleotides in length. Their secondary structure includes four short double-helical elements and three loops (D, anti-codon, and T loops). Lineage: Bacteria; Bacillati; Chloroflexota. The record is from RNAcentral.